AGUCUUUUGGUUUUUUAUGAAAGAUGGGUUCUGCUCAGUGGUGCUAAACAGCCGCGGUAAUUUGACCGUGCGAAGGUAGCAUAAUCAUUUGCCUUAUAAUUUGGGGCUUGUAUGAAUGGAUUUACAAAAGAUUUUCUGUCUUAAAAAAAUAUUUAGAAUUUGUUUUUAUUGUGAAGAAACAAUAAUGUAGUAAGGGGACAAGAAGACCCUUUUGAUCUUUACUUUUUAUUAAUAUUGUGUUUUUAGAAAAGUUUGGUUGGGGCGAUCGAGGAAGAAAAUUAAGAAUCUUCCUUAAUUAGAAACUUAUGGUCCAAAAUUUUUGAUGAAAGGAUUAAGUUACCAAAGGGAUAACAGCGUAAUUUUUCUUGUGAGUUCUUAUUAAAAGAAAAGAUUGCGACCUCGAUGUUGACUUAUUAUUUUCCUUUUGGUGCAGAAGCUAAGUUAGGAGGGUCUGUUCGACCUUUAAUCUAUU
Molecule: ribosomal RNA, 472 nt
Filed under: Nipponnemertes sp. 29 Vietnam
Lineage: Eukaryota; Metazoa; Nemertea; Enopla; Monostilifera; Cratenemertidae
Description: partial large subunit ribosomal RNA
Rfam family: Bacterial large subunit ribosomal RNA
Source: RNAcentral